GUAAAAGUCGUAACAAGGUCUCCGUUGGUGAACCAGCGGAGGGAUCAUUACCGAGUUUACAACUCCCAAACCCCUGUGAACAUACCUUAAUGUUGCCUCGGCGGAUCAGCCCGCGCCCCGUAAAACGGGACGGCCCGCCAGAGGACCCAAACUCUAAUGUUUCUUAUUGUAACUUCUGAGUAAAACAAACAAAUAAAUCAAAACUUUCAACAACGGAUCUCUUGGUUCUGGCAUCGAUGAAGAACGCAGCAAAAUGCGAUAAGUAAUGUGAAUUGCAGAAUUCAGUGAAUCAUCGAAUCUUUGAACGCACAUUGCGCCCGCUGGUAUUCCGGCGGGCAUGCCUGUUCGAGCGUCAUUUCAACCCUCAAGCCCCCGGGUUUGGUGUUGGGGAUCGGCUCUGCCCUUCUGGGCGGUGCCGCCCCCGAAAUACAUUGGCGGUCUCGCUGCAGCCUCCAUUGCGUAGUAGCUAACACCUCGCAACUGGAACGCGGCGCGGCCAUGCCGUAAAACCCCAACUUCUGAAUGUUGACCUCGGAUCAGGUAGGAAUACCCGC
This 554-nucleotide ribosomal RNA is filed under the name Fusarium sporotrichioides. RNAcentral's name for it is "eukaryotic LSU rRNA". The stretch from base 202 to 355 matches the Rfam family "5.8S ribosomal RNA". Lineage: Eukaryota; Fungi; Ascomycota; Sordariomycetes; Hypocreales; Nectriaceae. The record is from RNAcentral.